ACCUCCAUCCUUUAUUUUCAAUCUCUCUUCUUCCCCGAGCAGCAUGGCACUAUCUCUCCUUGUUUCACGUGCUUGGCAUUCUGUUGCUUCCAGUGAUAGCCUGUAGAGUUACAAGGUUGCUCAAAUUAUUGGGAAGCCAGACCUAACCCCUGCUGCAUGGGUGAGAAAGCUUGUUACUCUGUGUGAACAAGCCCCUGCAACACCAUUUGAUGUUGUUCAACUUGUUUUAGAUAAGGAGUUGGGUCUAAGUAUAGGCGAGAUUUUUGAAAAUUUUGACGUAAAUCCUAUUGGUUCGGCUUCAACUGCGCAGGUUCAUUGAGCAAGACUCAAGGGUGAUGUCAAAGAUGUUGUGAAGAUUGGGUAUGAAUUUGACUUUCUAAGAGAAGCCAAUGCUAUGGAUAGAAUUCACUGUUUCUUAUACGAAAACAACAAAAAAUCUCCAGUUCAGGUUCCGAGAGUGCUCAAGGAUUUGGUU
Hibiscus syriacus is the source of this 475-nucleotide long non-coding RNA. RefSeq lists it as uncharacterized. NCBI's taxonomy places the organism in Eukaryota, Viridiplantae, Streptophyta, Magnoliopsida, Malvales, Malvaceae. The transcript is spliced from 4 exons. The record is from RefSeq and is a predicted model, not a curated record.